CAAGCCACCCUAGAGGUUCCCAAAAGAUUAAGGUCUUGUUUAGAUGUGAAAAGUUUUUGGAUUUCGUUACUGUAGCACUUCGUUUGUUUGUGGCAAAUAUUGUCCAAUCAUGAACUAACUAGGAUCAAAAGAUUCGUCUCAUGAUUUACAGGUAAACUGUGUAAUUAGUUUUUAUUUUUAUUUAUAUUUAAUGCUUCAUGCAUGUGCCGCAAGAUUCGAUGUGACGGAAAAUUUUAAAAACUUUUUGGUUUUUGGGGUGAACUAAACAAGGCAGAAAACCAAUAAAAACAAAACCUUGCGUCUGUCUCGCAAAAAAACAAAUACCUGUCUUAAAGAAAACUUAGCCUCGCACAUUUUUUUAGAUAAAGGAUAGAAACUAUCCGGCUUCAUCUACCCAUAGGUAGAAUCAGGCCAAAUUAAUACAACGGGAGAAAAAAAGAAGAUAAAAAACGGAAAAAUUACAUCCCCAACAAGGGCUCAAGUAGUCCUAUGCAACAAACCGCCUUGAUCCAAGAUGUCAACUCCUCUGGAAUACGAUCACCAGCGUCAAGACAAAGUCGUCGAAACACGUUUGUCACACCUUAAAAAAAUAGUGAAAACGUUGGACACCGACCACCAUUGAAGAUUGGAUGCUUCUUCCAAGGCAACAACGCAAAGAACUUGGAACAGACAUAGGCCUGCCAUCCAAACUCCGAGCAGUUAUGCCAACGAACACCUCCUUCGACAAGAACUGCACAACGAAGAGACGUGGUUCCCGGCC
This 760-nucleotide long non-coding RNA is filed under the name Sorghum bicolor (sorghum). Its description in RNAcentral is "long non-coding RNA (SBIC_LNC009830)". The record is from RNAcentral. Lineage: Eukaryota; Viridiplantae; Streptophyta; Magnoliopsida; Poales; Poaceae.